GAUGAACGCUGGCGGCGUGCUUAACACAUGCAAGUCGAACGGAAAGGCCUCAGCUUGCUGGGGUACUCGAGUGGCGAACGGGUGAGUAACACGUGGGUGAUCUGCCCUGCACUUUGGGAUAAGCUUGGGAAACUGGGUCUAAUACCGAAUAUGACCACUUCUUGGAUGUUGUGGUGGAAAGCUUUUGCGGUGUGGGAUGAGCCUGCGGCCUAUCAGCUUGUUGGUGGGGUAAUGGCCUACCAAGGCGGCGACGGGUAUCCGGCCUGAGAGGGUGUACGGACACAUUGGGACUGAGAUACGGCCCAGACUCCUACGGGAGGCAGCAGUGGGGAAUAUUGCACAAUGGGCGCAAGCCUGAUGCAGCGACGCCGCGUGGGGGAUGAAGGCCUUCGGGUUGUAAACUCCUUUCGCUAUCGACGAAGCCUUUUAGGUGACGGUAGGUAGAUAAGAAGCACCGGCUAACUACGUGCCAGCCGCCGCGGUAA
This 485-nucleotide ribosomal RNA is filed under the name uncultured bacterium. RNAcentral describes it as "partial 16S ribosomal RNA". It matches the Rfam family "Bacterial small subunit ribosomal RNA", at positions 28 to 523 of the family's 1533-position model. The record is from RNAcentral.